Molecule: ribosomal RNA, 831 nt
Filed under: uncultured bacterium
Lineage: Bacteria
Description: bacterial SSU rRNA
Rfam family: Bacterial small subunit ribosomal RNA
Source: RNAcentral
UGGCGGCGUGGAUAAGGCAUGCAAGUCGUGCGCUCCUGCUUUGCAGGGGAGCGGCAGACGGGCUAGUAACGCGUGGGUAGCUGCCCUCGAGACGGGAAUAAGCUACUGAAAAGUAGUCUAAUACCCGAUGGUCUCCUCCGGAGCCUUGUGCGAAGGUGGAGUAAAGCUUCGGCACUCGAGGAGGUGCCCGCGUCCUAUCAGCUUGUUGGUGAGGUAAAGGCUCACCAAGGCAUACGGGUAGGGGGUGUGAGAGCACGAUCCCCAGCACCGGCACUGAGACACGGGCCGGACUCCUACGGGAGGCAGCAGUCGAGAAUCUUCCGCAAUGGGGGCAACCCUGACGGAGCGACGCCGCGUGCAGGAUGAAGGCCUUCGGGUCGUAAACUGCUUUUAUGGCUGAUCAAGCCACAUUUUUCGUGGUUGAGAGUAAGCCAGGAAUAAGGGGACGGCAAUCGCGUGCCAGCACCGGCGGUAAUACGCGAUCCCCAAGCGUUAUCCGGAGUUACUGGGCGUAAAGGGUCCUCAGGCGGUUUAUCAAGUUUUUGGUUAAAGCCCAAGGCUCAACCUUGGAAUUGCCGGGAAUACUGAUAAACUAGAGGAGGUCAGAGGCCGACGGAACUGGUGGUGUAGGGGUGAAAUCCGUUGAUAUCGCCAGGAACACCGAAGGCGAAGGCAGUCGGCUAGGGCUCUCCUGACGCUCACGGACGAAAGCCAGGGUCGCGAAGGGGAUUAGAUACCCCCGUAGUCCUGGCCGUAAACGAUGGACACUGGCCAUUGGAAGUGUCGACCCUUUCAGUGGCGAAGCUAACGCGUUAAGUGUCCCGCCUGGGA